AUCUUUGCGCAGUGGCAGUAUCGUAGCCUAUGAGGUUUAUCCGAGGCGCGAUUAUUGCUAGUUGAAAACUUUACCCAAUACCCCGCCUUGACGACUUGAAAUAUAGUCGACAAUGGCAAUUUUUGACGGUCUCUAAGGAGA
The sequence is a small nuclear RNA, 141 nucleotides long. Its record names the gene U4. It matches the Rfam family "U4 spliceosomal RNA". From Rfam's summary of the family: U4 small nuclear RNA (U4 snRNA) is a component of the major U2-dependent spliceosome. The structure of U4 snRNA from yeast and human has been reported. The record is from Ensembl.